UACGUAGGUGGCAAGCGUUGUCCGGAUUUACUGGGCGUAAAGGGAGCGUAGGUGGAUAUUUAAGUGGGAUGUGAAAUACCUGAGCUUAACUUGGGUGCUGCAUUCCAAACUGGAUAUCUAGAGUGCAGGAGAGGAAAGUGGAAUUCCUAGUGUAGCGGUGAAAUGCGUAGAGAUUAGGAAGAACCCCAGUGGCGAAGGCGACUUUCUGGACUGUAACUGACACUGAGGCGCGAAAGCGUGGGGAGCAAACAGG
This 253-nucleotide ribosomal RNA is filed under the name uncultured bacterium. Its description in RNAcentral is "partial 16S ribosomal RNA". It matches the Rfam family "Bacterial small subunit ribosomal RNA", at positions 524 to 776 of the family's 1533-position model. The record is from RNAcentral.